AACCGGUCGCGGUCGCGCAGGCGGGCAUCAAACCCGAGCAGGUGCUGGA
This 49-nucleotide transfer RNA is filed under the name Apocalathium aciculiferum. RNAcentral describes it as "partial Selenocysteine transfer RNA". The record is from RNAcentral. Lineage: Eukaryota; Dinophyceae; Thoracosphaerales; Thoracosphaeraceae.